GGGUGACCUCCCGGGAAG
Molecule: small RNA, 18 nt
Filed under: Arabidopsis thaliana (thale cress)
Lineage: Eukaryota; Viridiplantae; Streptophyta; Magnoliopsida; Brassicales; Brassicaceae
Description: Ath_wt_00512
Source: RNAcentral